This 27-nucleotide non-coding RNA is filed under the name Rattus norvegicus (Norway rat). The record is from RNAcentral. Lineage: Eukaryota; Metazoa; Chordata; Mammalia; Rodentia; Muridae.
UUCUGGUUCUUGGAAGGUUCCAACAGA